RNAcentral lists this ribosomal RNA (526 nucleotides) under Coeliccia didyma. RNAcentral describes it as "partial 16S ribosomal RNA". It matches the Rfam family "Bacterial large subunit ribosomal RNA", at positions 1829 to 2619 of the family's 2925-position model. Lineage: Eukaryota; Metazoa; Arthropoda; Insecta; Odonata; Platycnemididae. The record is from RNAcentral.
GUCCUCUUGUAUUUAUAUGAGGUCUGACCUGCCCAGUGAAUAUUUAACGGCCGCGGUAUUUUGACCGUGCAAAGGUAGCAUAAUCAUUAGUCUUUUAAUAGAAGACUGGAAUGAAAGGUUUAACGAAUUAUUAACUGUCUCAUUUGUAUAAUUUAAAAUUUAAUUUUUAAGUUAAAAAGCUUAAAUUGAGUUGUAGGACGAGAAGACCCUAUAGAGCUUUACAUUUUAUUUUUUAAUGUUUUUUUGUUUAAUAAAUAUACAUUAAAAUUUUAAUGUUUUGUUGGGGUGAUAAAAUUACAUGAAAAACUUUUUUAUUUUUAAACAAUUAUUUUUGAAUAUUUGAUCCAUUAUUAUUGAUUAAUAGAUCAAGUUACCUUAGGGAUAACAGCGUAAUCUUCUUUUGGAGUUCAAAUUUAUAAGAAGGCUUGCGACCUCGAUGUUGGAUUAAGAUAAUAAUUUGGUGUAGUAGUUAAAUUAAUAGGUCUGUUCGACCUUUAAAAUCUUACAUGAUCUGAGUUCAGACCGG